This is a long non-coding RNA of Lynx canadensis (Canada lynx), 985 nucleotides long. RefSeq lists it as uncharacterized. The record is from RefSeq and is a predicted model, not a curated record. The transcript has 3 exons. NCBI's taxonomy places the organism in Eukaryota, Metazoa, Chordata, Mammalia, Carnivora, Felidae.
CUGCAGCACCAGCCCCGCCGACCCGCAGCACUGGACACAGGACCUUCUUCGAGCCUUCGGUCCCUUAUACACGAGGUGGCCACUCUGCCUUGACGUCUCUUGGGUCUAAGCUGCCCCCUCACUCCCACCCACCAAAGCCUUGGCCCGGAAGAUGCCUCUCAUCGUUAUGCAGCUGACGGGGAAGGAGACAGGCACGAAGACGCCCUUCUCUGCUCUCCUGGUGCCAGGACCCACGCACAGAGCAGAACACGAGGCCCAGAAGAAUCUCACCCUUUCGGGAGGACCCGGACCCGGACCGGCAUUUCUGGAGCCUCGCUCUCCUGCCUGCAGGACCUACACCCACGUCAGCCACUGGCCAGUCCCAGCAUGGAUCUUGUCAUGGGCAGUCUUCUCCUGAGCCACCUGCCGCAGGGCCCCAGGGGUGGGAGCCAGCGGACUGUCCCUCUGGAGCCUGCAGCAGGUGAGGGGACCAGUGUCCACCCCCUGCUGUCCCACAGGCUGCUGUACAAGGUAGAUUUCUAGUGAGGGAAGAUCACUAGCCCCUCCCAGGCCCGGGUGCUCUGUCCUGUCCCCCCACCGCACACACACAUCUAUGCCAGGUCCUGAAAAGAGGCACUGGGAGAGUCCAACCUCAUUCAUUAAGUCCUCCCACGUGGCCAGCCGUGCUGGGUCAGUCACUGGAAGAGGCACAAGAAAAUGCAGUAACCUCCCCGCUGUCCCUGGUUGUCCUCCCUCUGGUGCCAGCCUGUGCCUGUAUUGUGGACCACCUCCCUCCCUCCUUCCCUCCUUCCCUCCCUCUCUCUCUCCCUCUCUCACACAGCUUCCAGAGUCCUCUGCUCAAUUCCAAUCUGUUUCCAUGCAGAGCCCCAGGCUUGCUGUCCAUAGUCCCAAAUGCAUUCAGGUGCUCUGCUGAACAAAGAGAGUCUCCCACCAUAGCUAUCAAAGAGAAAAAAAAGGGGGCACCUGGGUGGCUCUGUCACUUGAG